GGAAUGUCUAAUUUCCAUAGUCAAGAUUGGAGUGGCAUGCUCGAUAGAGUCACCACAAGGUCGAAUGAGCUUAAGUAAUAUCCUCCAUGAACUUCAUUUGAUCAAGAAGAAAUUCCUUCAAGAUGAACUUUCAACAAUGAAGCCGCAAAGAUAAUUGGACAUCGGUGGGAGCAAGCGUGGCAUGUUUUCUAUUGACAAUGAAGCUUGAUGCUUGCCAAAGCUGUGAGAAAUGGUAAAAGCUCAGUAAAAAAGGAAGAGGAUUAUGCUAGUACUUUUAAAUUCAAACUGGGAACCUAUAUGUCACAAGUGUAUAAAUAAUUUGAUUAUCAGAUUAUUUUCUAUCUAGUCCAUGUGAGAAUGAUAAUGUAUUGUACUUGCGUGAUUCGAGUUUAUUUACCUUUUUAAUUGUUAGCCAAUAAUAUGGCUUUGUUUCUUUCACAAACUAUAUAUAUAUAUAUUUGAAAAGCGGAAGUUACUAUUGAAUCCAUGAAAAUGAAAUGCAAGUGUAUUUGGACUGGUGUUAAGGUCCUAGAUGA
Molecule: non-coding RNA, 536 nt
Organism: Camellia sinensis
Lineage: Eukaryota; Viridiplantae; Streptophyta; Magnoliopsida; Ericales; Theaceae
Source: RefSeq, a predicted model, not a curated record